This 2627-nucleotide ribosomal RNA is filed under the name gut metagenome. RNAcentral's name for it is "bacterial LSU rRNA". It matches the Rfam family "Bacterial large subunit ribosomal RNA". The record is from RNAcentral.
AGAGCGUAGGGUGGAUGCCUUGGCACUUGACGCCGAUGAAGGACGUGACUAACUGCGAUAAGCUGUGGGGAGCUGUAAAUGAGCAUUGAUCCACAGAUUUCCGAAUGAGGAAACUCACCAAGAGAAUGUCUUGGUAUCCGUACAUAAAUACAUAGUGUACGGAAGGGCACCCGGGGAACUGAAACAUCUCAUUACCCGGAGGAAAAGAAAGAAAACGAUCGAUUCCCUUAGUAGUGGCGAGCGAAAGGGGAAGAGCCUAAACCUAUGCAUAGCGAUAUGUAUAGGGGUUAAGGGCUCGCGUAAUUAUGACAGCCGCAGAGCAGAAUGAUCUGGAAAGUUCAGUCAAAGAGGGUGACAACCCCGUAGGCGAUAGCGACUUAGUAAGGCGAGUUCCGGAGUACCACAGGACACGAGGAAUCCGGUGGGAACAUGGGAGGACCAUCUCCUAAGGCUAAAUACGUCAAGUGACCGAUAGCGAAUAGUACUGUGAAGGAACGGUGAAAAGAACCCCGGGAGGGGAGUGAAAGAGAACCUGAAACCUUAUGCUUACAAGCAGACAGAGCACUACUUAAAGUGUGAUGUCGUACCUUUUGUAGAAUGGGCCGGCGAGUUACGAUGUGUAGCGAGGUUAAGUGAUUACGUCACGGAGCCGAAGCGAAAGCGAGUUUGAAUAGAGCGAAAGUUGCAUGUCGUAGACCCGAAACCGGAUGACCUAUCCAUGAGCAGGUUGAAGCAGUGGUAAGACACUGUGGAGGACCGAACACACGCCUGUUGAAAUAGUCGGUGAUGACUUGUGGAUAGCGGAGAAAUUCCAAACGAAUCCGGAUAUAGCUGGUUCUCCUCGAAAUAGCUUUAGGGCUAGCCUCUGUACAAGAAUUCCGAAGGUAGAGCACUGAAUAGGCUAGGGGGUUUCACGACUUACCGAACCUUAUCAAACUUCGAAUGACGGAAAUUUGAUGACAGGGAGUCAGACAGUGGGAGAUAAGUUUCAUUGUCGAAAGGGAAACAGCCCAGAUCCACAACUAAGGUCCCAAAGUACAAGUUAAGUGGUAAAGGAUGUUUUGUCACUAAAACAACCAGGAUGUUGGCUUAGAAGCAGCCACACAUUAAAAGAGUGCGUAAUAGCUCACUGGUCGAGUGAUGAUGCGCCGAAGAUUACCGGGGCUAAAACUUGACACCGAAGUUUGGGGAUGUACGCAAGUACAUCGGUAGAGGAGCAAUGUAUGCGGGCUGAAGCCGUAUCGGAAGGGGCGGUGGACUGCAUACAAGAGAGAAUGCCGGCAUAAGUAGCGCAAGCGGAGCGAGAAACUCCGCCAUCGAAAGUCAAAGGUUUCCUGGGGAAGGUUCGUCCACCCAGGGUAAGUCGGGAGCUAAGUUGAGGCCGAAAGGCGUAGAUGAUGCACAAUCGGUAGAUAUUCCGAUACCACCGAAGAUAUAAGCGAAGCAGGGACACAGGAGGAUAGCCGUACCGCGCUGAUGGACAAGUGCGGGCAAGCGUUGAGGCCGGGUGUAGGUGAAGUACCUACAUUCAAAGCUGGGGCGCGAUGCCGACCGAAAUUAAGUAGGGAAGGCGGUGAAUUCACGCUGGCGAGAAAAUCUGCUAAGUUAAGCUAAGGUGCCCGUACCGCAAACCGACACAGGUUGACGAGGAGAAAAUCCUAAGAUGAACGGGAUAACUCUUGUUAAGGAACUCUGCAAAAUGACCCCGUAACUUCGGGAGAAGGGGAGCCACGCGAGUGGCCGCAGUGAAGAGGCUCAAGCGACUGUUUAUCAAAAACACAGGUCUCUGCUAAAUCGAAAGAUGAAGUAUAGGGGCUGACGCCUGCCCAGUGCUGGAAGGUUAAGGGGAAGUGUUAGGCAACGAAGCACCGAACUUAAGCCCCAGUGAACGGCGGCCGUAACUAUAACGGUCCUAAGGUAGCGAAAUUCCUUGUCAGGUAAGUUCUGACCCGCACGAAUGGCGUAACGACUUGAGCGCUGUCUCAACAGGAGGCCCGGCGAAAUUGUAGUAUACGUGAAGAUGCGUAUUACCCGCGACUGGACGGAAAGACCCCGUAGAGCUUUACUGUAAUUUGAUAUUGAAUUUCGGCAAUUGAUGUACAGGAUAGGUGGGAGACUUAGAUGCUUGUGCGCCAGCGCAAGCGGAGUCGCCGUUGGGAUACCACCCUUCAAUUGCUGGGAUUCUAACGACUAAGCCGUAAACCGGCAGUCGGACAGUGUCAGAUGGACAGUUUGACUGGGGCGGUCGCCUCCCAAAGAGUAACGGAGGCGUUCAAAGGUUCCCUCAGGAUGGUUGGAAACCAUCCAAAGAGCGUAAAGGUAGAAGGGAGCUUGACUGCGAGACUUACAAGUCGAGCAGGUACGAAAGUAGGACUUAGUGAUCCGGCGGUAGAGUAUGGAAUUGCCGUCGCUUAACGGAUAAAAGUUACCUCGGGGAUAACAGGCUUAUCUCCCCCAAGAGUUCACAUCGACGGGGAGGUUUGGCACCUCGAUGUCGGCUCGUCACAUCCUGGGGCUGUAGUCGGUCCCAAGGGUUCGGCUGUUCGCCGAUUAAAGUGGCACGCGAGCUGGGUUCAGAACGUCGUGAGACAGUUCGGUCCCUAUCCAUCGUGGGCGUAGGAUAUUUG